GACGAACGCUGGCGGCGUGCUUAACACAUGCCAGUCGAACGGAAAGGCCCUGCUUUUGUGGGUUGCUCGAGUGGCGAACGGGUGAGUAACACGUGAGUAACCUGCCCUUGACUUUGGGAUAACUUCAGGAAACUGGGGCUAAUACCGGAUAGGAGCUCCUGCUGCAUGGUGGGGGUUGGAAAGUUUCGGCGGUUGGGGAUGGACUCGCGGCUUAUCAGCUUGUUGGUGGGGUAGUGUCUUACCAAGGCUUUGACGGGUAGCCGGCCUGAGAGGGUGACCGGCCACAUUGGGACUGAGAUACGGCCCAGACUGCUACGGGAGGCAGCAGUGGGGAAUAUUGCACAAUGGGCGGAAGCCUGAUGCAGCAACGCCGCGUGCGGGAUGACGGCCUUCGGGUUGUAAACCGCUUUCGCAUGUGACGAAGCGUGAGUGACGGUAAUGGGUAAAGAAGCACCGGCUAACUACGUG
This 468-nucleotide ribosomal RNA is filed under the name uncultured bacterium. RNAcentral describes it as "partial 16S ribosomal RNA". It matches the Rfam family "Bacterial small subunit ribosomal RNA", at positions 28 to 507 of the family's 1533-position model. The record is from RNAcentral.